This 3307-nucleotide long non-coding RNA is filed under the name Triticum aestivum (bread wheat). RNAcentral describes it as "long non-coding RNA (TAES_LNC009238)". Lineage: Eukaryota; Viridiplantae; Streptophyta; Magnoliopsida; Poales; Poaceae. The record is from RNAcentral.
AGGUCCGCAACUCCUUCUCCGGUCCUCUCUGCUCUCCUCUGCCUCAUCUCAUAACUACUUCUACUAAUUGUUGAUUGGGCUCGGUUGCUGUCAAAAUCAAGACAAUUGCAUUCAAGCACAACGCAGUACCUUAUUCAAGAAAGAGCAACACGCCUUAAAUACAAUACAGUAGGUGUAUCAACUAAAUCCCAUGGUCACACCUAAAAACUUAGGAAAAGUAUGUAGUCCAUGCCCCAAUUAUAAAUACUCUGUUCUCACCUUAAACUAUCACAAAAGAGACAAAUAAAAAUACAACUGCUAAUAUAAAUGCAGACCAGUGCACACCAUAUUAGGUGAAGAUUUCCAAAGACAAGCAACCAGAUCAGUUUAUUUUUUGCGGGUAAGCAACCAGAUCAGUUUAGUUGCACACAGCAUGCAUGUUCAUCCAACUACUUCCAUAAACAGUUGAAUUACGCUUUCAUAAACUCAUUCCCACCAAUCCAUCCAUUAUGAGUAAACAGCAACCACUACCCAAUUGCUUAUCAAGAAUGACCCAAAGCAACAAACUGAACAUAAUUUUAUUACCACACCGUUUUGAAAUCUUUUUCUUUUUUAAGCAAAUCAAGCCUGCUCCUUUUCUUUUUUGGUUAAAGCUAGGUCGGUGAGCUUGGAGAAGAAAAGCAAUUAAUAAAUUUACCCAAAAUAAAUUAUCUUCUUAUCUGCUUUAAUGGAACAUAGUAAGAAUGUGCCGUUGCUGUCUGUGUUAACAAGCAAGGUAAGCAAGAAAAGCAAUAUAUAAAUUUAAUUGUUGCGCCAUCGGCGCAAGAAGCCAAUUAGAAGAGAUAAUUAUAAUCUGUUAUAGUCAACAAGCAAGGUAAGCAAGAUUUCAGUAACCAGCAUUAAAGAGCCAAAUAACACAGUACAACUGCCGACCAAUGAUUUUGAUUUAAGAGAGAUCUCCUACCUCUUAGGCUAGGUUUGGUCAGACUGCACGUUCUUCUCAUCUCCAGUAACCACAACAUCAGCGUUCUCACCAUCCAGCUUAGUUUCCUAUUUUCAUGUGGGGAUGGUCAUCAGUGGAAGAAAUUUGUAACAGGGAAAAACAGUAGUUGAAUUUAACAGAAGCACUAACAUCUGCCUUGGAUAUAGGUCAAUAGCAUCUUCAGCUGAAGCACUUUCUCUAGUAUCGACAGAAGCCGACACAGGAACCUUGGCUUUGGAAGGUUAAGUGAACAGCUUGCGAUGGUCGUUCGUAGGGCAGGGUGAUUUGCUGCAUUAGAAUGCAAAAGCACAUAAGGCGUAAGCAAUCUAAAAGGAACUCCAACAAGCCCAAGAAAAACUAUGUGUUAGAAUUAAUUACAAGUAUGCACUACCGUACAUAGUCUCAAACCAGUGGAAGAAGACUUAACUAUACAUGUGCAGUUACUUAUGUAAGGCCCUGUUUGUUUGGGCUUAUACUUCAGAUUUUGCAGCUUUUACACUUUGGCUUAAAAAAUGCACAAGUUCUUUGAAAAUUGGUAAAAAAGGAUGACCAAAUAAAACUAAAAAGGAAUAAUCAGGGGAAUCAAAACCUUUAGCCGGUGUAGUUUCCUGACUGCUCUGAUGCUUUCUCUUGUAACAGCACCUUCAGGCCAAUUUAGACGUGUCCCUCGCCUAAAAUAUUUCUGAGCUGAUAAACUGCAUAUUCCAAGGAAUACAAUGACAUCUGAGUAUAAAUUAAAUGCAAGAAUAAACAGAGAAUUGGAUGCAGCACUCAAUAGCAUAUUAUUAACUUAAGUGUUGCUAUUUAAGCUUACAUAAUGAUGUACAGAGAUGUAUGGAAGUUCAAAACAGAUUUAUUCUUCAGUAUUUUUUAAAGAAAGUGGCAUUAGCAGAAACAACAUAAAAAAAUAUGUUUGGGAGAGCAUCCCCACAUGUUAAUAUGUUCUGGAGAAACAUCCCAGCAGAUGCUUGCCAAAUUUACCUUUACGAGCAACAUCUAUAAAUCAAUAACAGAAGAGAUGCAAGCCGAAACUACUUCUGAGUAGCAAACCAGUGAACAACUAUAAACCGUAGAACUUAGGGAACCACAGCCAAAAAAAAUGUGACUGCGCGUAAAAAUAAAAGAAAUAUUUCUUUGCAGGUAGGACGUGCCAGAGUUCUUCAAAACAUUUGAUGCAGAAGAUUUAGUGCAAAGGAGAAAGAUAUAUAUUUCACUCUCAAACAUAUAUAUAGCCAAAGGUUAUCCCAGCAUCAAAAGUUCCCACGUGUUGUGGGGGCCUGGGAAAGGGAAUUAUUAGGUUCUUAGGCAGCAUUUCCUGUUUGGUUUUUUAAGGAUACUGACUCAAGCCCCGGACUUCCAGGAUACAAGUGGAGAUACUGCCAUUCUCUUGAGAAACAAGCCCAAUAAAAAGGGCUUGGUUCCAAAAGUAAUCCUGGACCUCCAGGACACAGAUGGAGAUAAUUUGUUUGUUAAUGAUAGCUUAACGAGAAAUUAAAAAAUGAUAAUCAAAUUAAUGGUAUAAAUACGAACCUAGCCUCCCGUAUCAUGUGCUCUGGUACGGGUCCCAAAACCCUCUCCAUCAUUGCUAGGUGUUCCAGGUUCUCAUGUGUCUGAAACAAUGCCUCCCCUUAUAAAUGUUUAGGGUUAGGACCAUAUAUCAAGGUAAAAGAGGAAAGACAGGCAUCACAAGCAAUCUAACCGAGCAUAGCUCAACGAGGAUGCAACCAACACUCCAACCAACACUGGUAUACCCAAACCCCAAUCAGAUGAGUCAGAGAACUAUUGAAAAAGAAUACCAUCUCUAAAGAAGAAUGCAAUUCUAAAAAUGCUUGGAGAUUCUUGUUAGUCUUAAUAAACAGCCCUUUUCUCAAAGAAUUAUAUAAGAACACGCUUCACUUCAGAUCCAAGACAUGAUGUACUUUCUCCAAAUGGUGCUAGCUAACAACACCUUCAUACUCUAGAAAGAACCCAAGAGAAAUAAGCUCCAUGCACCACCCAGGUAAACCAGAAUGGAAACCACCAUAUACAUUUUCUAUGUAUCACAUAUACUCAUCAAAGAAAACCACCAUAUACCGGGUUCUUAUCAAUGCUAUUGUUUGCUAUCAAUAUAUCUAUUAAAACUCUCCUACCUGAUGAGAGGAAAAUGACACUACAGGAUGGGGUCUGAUGGCAUAAAGAAACCAUCAUGAUUGCACAGAUAGCAGCCCCUGAUUAAUGCGAAUAUGAGAGAGAAAUGGGAGCAGAGUGGGCUGUAAGUACAAAGAAAACUAACCUUAGGUAAGUUGCUCACUAAUGAUGCAGAAUCUAGAGGUACACACUGAUGAUGCAGAACCUGGAGGACACCUG